Molecule: ribosomal RNA, 510 nt
Filed under: uncultured bacterium
Lineage: Bacteria
Description: partial 16S ribosomal RNA
Rfam family: Bacterial small subunit ribosomal RNA
Source: RNAcentral
GACGAACGCUGGCGGCGUGCCUAACACAUGCAAGUCGAACGAAGAGCGAUGGAAGCUUGCUUCUAUCAAUCUUAGUGGCGAACGGGUGAGUAACGCGUAAUCAACCUGCCCUUCAGAGGGGGACAACAGUUGGAAACGACUGCUAAUACCGCAUACGAUCUAAUCUCGGCAUCGAGGAUAGAUGAAAGGUGGCCUCUACAUGUAAGCUAUCACUGAAGGAGGGGAUUGCGUCUGAUUAGCUAGUUGGAGGGGUAACGGCCCACCAAGGCGAUGAUCAGUAGCCGGUCUGAGAGGAUGAACGGCCACAUUGGGACUGAGACACGGCCCAGACUCCUACGGGAGGCAGCAGUGGGGAUUCUUCCGCAAUGGACGAAAGUCUGACGGAGCAACGCCGCGUGAGUGAUGACGGCCUUCGGGUUGUAAAGCUCUGUUAAUCGGGACGAAAGGCCUUCUUGCGAAUAGUGAGAAGGAUUGACGGUACCGGAAUAGAAAGCCACGGCUAACUACGUG